This 484-nucleotide ribosomal RNA is filed under the name uncultured bacterium. RNAcentral's name for it is "partial 16S ribosomal RNA". It matches the Rfam family "Bacterial small subunit ribosomal RNA", at positions 30 to 507 of the family's 1533-position model. The record is from RNAcentral.
AUUGAACGCUGGCGGCAGGCCUAACACAUGCAAGUCGAGCGGAUGCAGGGAGCUUGCUCCUGGAUUCAGCGGCGGACGGGUGAGUAAUGCCUAGGAAUCUGCCUGGUAGUGGGGGAUAACGUCCGGAAACGGGCGCUAAUACCGCAUACGUCCUGAGGGAGAAAGUGGGGGAUCUUCGGACCUCACGCUAUCAGAUGAGCCUAGGUCGGAUUAGCUAGUUGGUGGGGUAAAGGCCUACCAAGGCGACGAUCCGUAACUGGUCUGAGAGGAUGAUCAGUCACACUGGAACUGAGACACGGUCCAGACUCCUACGGGAGGCAGCAGUGGGGAAUAUUGGACAAUGGGCGAAAGCCUGAUCCAGCCAUGCCGCGUGUGUGAAGAAGGUCUUCGGAUUGUAAAGCACUUUAAGUUGGGAAGAAGGGCAGUAAGUUAAUACCUUGCUGUUUUGACGUUACCAACAGAAUAAGCACCGGCUAACUUCGUG